GAUCAACGCUGGCGGCGUGCUUAACACAUGCAAGUCGAACGGGAUCCAAGGGGUGCUUGCACUUUUUGGUGAGAGUGGCGAACGGGUGAGUAACACGUGAGUAACCUGUCCUUUUCUUUGGGAUAAGCAUUCGAAAGGGUGUUUAAUACCUUAUGUUCUGUCUGCCUCGCAUGGGGUGGGUGGGAAAGGCUUUGGCCGGAUUUGGGUUGGCUCGCGGUCUAUCAGCUUGUUGGUGGGGUGAUGGCUUACCAAGGCUUUGACGGGUAGCCGGCCUGAGAGGGGGGUCGGUCAGAUUGGGACUGAGGUACGGCCCAGAACCCCGCGGGAGGGAACCGUGGGGGAUAUUGCAAAAUUGGGGAAAGCCCGAUGCAGCGACGCCGCGUGGGGGAUGAAGGCCUUCGGGUUGUAAACUUCUUUUGCUCUGAACAAGGCAUGCCAGUGGGUGUGUUGAGUGUAGGGGUUGAUUAGCGCCGGCUAACUACGUG
Molecule: ribosomal RNA, 485 nt
Filed under: uncultured bacterium
Lineage: Bacteria
Description: partial 16S ribosomal RNA
Rfam family: Bacterial small subunit ribosomal RNA
Source: RNAcentral